CUGCAGCUCUCCUUACCUUGUCGACCCCAGCCGCAGAGGCAACCAGCUAAAGACCUCUAGCUCUCUGCCUUCUCCACGCCACAAACAGGAUCCCAGGACAGGCCAGGUGCUGACGCUCUGCAACGCAUGUGGUCUGGCACUCGCCAGGCCUCGGAGCACUCCGAACCCCGCGAAGGAUCCUGGGCCGGAUGAGAGGAAGCGGCAUGAAGAGCAGCUGCAGGCGUUUGGACGGGCCAUGGUGGAGCUGCUCGGGGACCAGGAUGGGAGCAAGCUCUGCUGUCCUGCCUACACCAGGAAACCCUGCCUCUGUCUCCAGAAUUAUCUCAAAGCCCCAGGGCUGGGUGAGAGCGAGAGCCGGACACGAGCCCUCGAGUUCUUGAGGUUGCUGCAGGAAUCCAAGCGACUGAAAGCCGUGAAGUUCUGCAGCGCCGG
RNAcentral lists this long non-coding RNA (432 nucleotides) under Chrysemys picta bellii (western painted turtle). RNAcentral's name for it is "lncRNA (ENSCPBG00000012159.1)". The record is from RNAcentral. Lineage: Eukaryota; Metazoa; Chordata; Testudines; Emydidae.